This 23-nucleotide unclassified non-coding RNA is filed under the name Mus musculus (house mouse). RNAcentral's name for it is "oocyte_clustered_small_RNA10258". Lineage: Eukaryota; Metazoa; Chordata; Mammalia; Rodentia; Muridae. The record is from RNAcentral.
UUCCUGCCCAUGCGUAAUACCAG